This 217-nucleotide ribosomal RNA is filed under the name Salmonella enterica subsp. enterica serovar Cerro. RNAcentral describes it as "partial 23S ribosomal RNA". It matches the Rfam family "Bacterial large subunit ribosomal RNA", at positions 1132 to 1348 of the family's 2925-position model. Lineage: Bacteria; Pseudomonadati; Pseudomonadota; Gammaproteobacteria; Enterobacterales; Enterobacteriaceae. The record is from RNAcentral.
GCGUAAUAGCUCACUGGUCGAGUCGGCCUGCGCGGAAGAUGUAACGGGGCUAAACCCUGCACCGAAGCUGCGGCAGCGUCACUAAGUGUUGUUGGGAAGGGGAGCGUUCUGUAAGCCUGUGAAGGUGGCCUGUGAGGGUUGCUGGAGGUAUCAGAAGUGCGAAUGCUGACAUAAGUAACGAUAAAGCGGGUGAAAAGCCCGCUCGCCGGAAGACCAA